AUUGAACGCUAGCGGGAUGCCUAACACAUGCAAGUCGAACGGAGUGGCGGACGGGUGAGUAAUGUAUCGGAACCUGCCCAGUAGCGGGGGAUAACUACUCGACAGAGUAGCUAAUACCGCAUACUAUAGGAUGUGCCGAUAUCGGAUUAGCUAGUGGGUGGGGUAAAGGCUCACCAAGGCAACGAUCCCUAGCUGGUUUGAGAGGAUGACCAGCCACACUGGAACUGAGAGACGGCCCAGACUCCUACGGGAGGCAGCAGUGGGGAAUAUUGCACAAUGGGGGAAACCCUGAUGCAGCCAUACCGCGUGUAUGAAGAAGGCCUUCGGGUUGUAAAGUACUUUCAGCGGAGAGGCGGUACCCGCAGAAGAAGCACCGGCUAACUACGUGCCAGCAGCCGCGGUAAUUC
RNAcentral lists this ribosomal RNA (407 nucleotides) under uncultured bacterium. RNAcentral's name for it is "partial 16S ribosomal RNA". It matches the Rfam family "Bacterial small subunit ribosomal RNA", at positions 30 to 526 of the family's 1533-position model. The record is from RNAcentral.